Molecule: ribosomal RNA, 254 nt
Filed under: uncultured bacterium
Lineage: Bacteria
Description: partial 16S ribosomal RNA
Rfam family: Bacterial small subunit ribosomal RNA
Source: RNAcentral
UACGUAGGGGCCUAGCGUUGUCCGGAAUUAUUGGGCGUAAAGAGCUCGUAGGCGGUUCGGCAAAUCGGAUGUGAAAUCUCCACGCUUAACGUGGAGGGGCCAUUCGAAACUGCUGUGACUCGAGUCCGGUAGGGGAGUGUGGAAUUCCCGGUGUAGCGGUGAAAUGCGCAGAUAUCGGGAGGAACACCAGUAGCGAAGGCGGCACUCUGGGCCGGUACUGACGCUGAGGAGCGAAAGCCAGGGGAGCAAACGGG